UGGUCUUGACAUCCCGAGAAUCUCAAGGAAACUUGAGAGUGCCUCUUUGAGGAAUUCGGUGACAGGUGCUGCAUGGCUGUCGUCAGCUCGUGUCGUGAGAUGUUGGGUUAAGUCCCGCAACGAGCGCAACCCUUGUCUUUAGUUGCCAGCAUUAAGUUGGGCACUCUAAAGAGACUGCCGGUGUCAAACCGGAGGAAGGUGGGGAUGACGUCAAGUCCUCAUGGCCUUUAUGACCAGGGCUACACACGUACUACAAUGGCAUAGACAAAGGGCAGCGACAUCGCGAGGUGAAGCGAAUCCCGUAAACUAUGUCUCAGUCCGGAUUGGAGUCUGCAACUCGACUCCAUGAAGUUGGAAUCGCUAGUAAUCGUAGAUCAGCAUGCUACGGUGAAUACGUUCCCGGGCCU
RNAcentral lists this ribosomal RNA (407 nucleotides) under uncultured bacterium. RNAcentral's name for it is "bacterial SSU rRNA". It matches the Rfam family "Bacterial small subunit ribosomal RNA", at positions 976 to 1381 of the family's 1533-position model. The record is from RNAcentral.